RNAcentral lists this ribosomal RNA (253 nucleotides) under uncultured bacterium. Its description in RNAcentral is "partial 16S ribosomal RNA". It matches the Rfam family "Bacterial small subunit ribosomal RNA", at positions 524 to 776 of the family's 1533-position model. The record is from RNAcentral.
UACGAAGGGGGCUAGCGUUGUCCGGAAUCAUUGGGCGUAAAGCGCGUGUAGGCGGUCCGGUAAGUCCGCUGUGAAAGUCGAGGGCUCAACCCUCGAAUGCCGGUGGAUACUGUCGGGCUAGAGUGCGGAAGAGGCGAGUGGAAUUCCUGGUGUAGCGGUGAAAUGCGCAGAUAUCAGGAGGAACACCUAUUGCGAAGGCAGCUCGCUGGGACGUUACUGACGCUGAGACGCGAAAGCGUGGGGAGCAAACAGG